GAUGAAGAACGCAGCGAAGUGCGAUAAGUAGUGUGAAUUGCAGAAUUCAGUGAAUCAUCGAAUCUUUGAACGCACAUUGCGCCCCUUGGUAUUCCAUGGGGCAUGCCUGUUCGAGCGUCAUUUGUACCUUCAAGCUCUGCUUGGUGUUGGGUGUUUGUCUCGCCUCUGCGUGUAGACUCGCCUUAAAACAAUUGGCAGCCGGCGUAUUGAUUUCGGAGCGCAGUACAUCUCGCGCUUUGCACUCAUAACGACGACGUCCAAAAGUACAUUUUUACACUCUUGACCUCGGAUCAGGUAGGGAUACCCGCUGAACUUAAGCAUAUCAAUAAGCGGAGGA
RNAcentral lists this unclassified non-coding RNA (337 nucleotides) under soil metagenome. RNAcentral describes it as "partial contains 5.8S ribosomal RNA, internal transcribed spacer 2, and large subunit ribosomal RNA". The stretch from base 1 to 120 matches the Rfam family "5.8S ribosomal RNA", at positions 35 to 154 of the family's 154-position model. The record is from RNAcentral.